This 511-nucleotide ribosomal RNA is filed under the name uncultured bacterium. RNAcentral describes it as "partial 16S ribosomal RNA". It matches the Rfam family "Bacterial small subunit ribosomal RNA", at positions 355 to 859 of the family's 1533-position model. The record is from RNAcentral.
UAGGGAAUCUUCCACAAUGGACGCAAGUCUGAUGGAGCAACGCCGCGUGAGUGAAGAAGGUUUUCGGACCGUAAAGCUCUGUUGUUGGUGAAGAAGGAUAGAGGUAGUAACUGGCCUUUAUUUGACGGUAAUCAACCAGAAAGUCACGGCUAACUACGUGCCAGCAGCCGCGGUAAUACGUAGGUGGCAAGCGUUGUCCGGAUUUAUUGGGCGUAAAGCGAGCGCAGGCGGAAGAAUAAGUCUGAUGUGAAAGCCCUCGGCUUAACCGAGGAAUUGCAUCGGAAACUGUUUUCUUGAGUGCAGAAGAGGAGAGUAGAACUCCAUGUGUAGCGGUGGAAUGCGUAGAUAUAUGGAAAAUACCAGUGGCGAAGGCGGCUCUCUGGUCUGCAACUGACGCUGAGGCUCGAAAGCAUGGGUAGCGAACAGGAUUAGAUACCCUGGUAGUCCAUGCCGUAACGAUGAGUGCUAAGUGUUGGGGAGGCUUCCGCCUCUCAGUGCUGCAGCUAACGCA